This 301-nucleotide ribosomal RNA is filed under the name uncultured bacterium. RNAcentral's name for it is "partial 16S ribosomal RNA". It matches the Rfam family "Bacterial small subunit ribosomal RNA", at positions 509 to 807 of the family's 1533-position model. The record is from RNAcentral.
CAGCAGCCGCGGGAAUACGGAGGGUGCAAGCGUUAAUCGGAAUUACUGGGCGUAAAGCGCACGCAGGCGGUCUGACAAGUCAGAUGUGAAAUCCCCGGGCUUAACCUGGGAACUGCAUUUGAAACUGUCAGGCUGGAGUCUUGUAGAGGGGGGUGGAAUUCCAGGUGUAGCGGUGAAAUGCGUAGAGAUCUGGAGGAAUACCGGUGGCGAAGGCGGCCCCCUGGACAAAGACUGACGCUCAGGUGCGAAAGCGUGGGGACCAAACAGGAUUAGAUACCCCAGUAGUCCCUGUCUCUUAUAC